Molecule: ribosomal RNA, 647 nt
Filed under: Vermamoeba vermiformis
Lineage: Eukaryota; Tubulinea; Echinamoebida; Vermamoebidae
Description: SSU rRNA
Rfam family: Eukaryotic small subunit ribosomal RNA
Source: RNAcentral
CUGGCCUCCUAUGUUCCUAACGGUCCUCAUCCGCGAGGGUGGGGAAUCAACCGCUAGGAUCGUUUACUUUGAGGAAAUUAGAGUGUUCAAAGCAGGCGUAACUCGCCUCCGAAUACGUUAGCAUGGGAUAAUGGAAUACGACUUCGGUCUUGUUUCGUUGGUUUCGCUUGGCUGAAGUAAUGAUUGAUAGGGACAGUUGGGGGCAUUAGUAUUUAGUUGUCAGAGGUGAAAUUUUAGGAUUUACUAAAGACUGACCAAUGCGAAAGCAUUUGCCAAGGAUGUUUUCAUUAAUCAAGAACGAAAGUAGGGGGAUCGAAGACGAUCAGAUACCGUCGUAGUCUCUACCGUAAACUAUGCCGACCAGGGAUCCGGAGAGUUUGCAUGGAUGACUCCCCGGGCACCUUGUGAGAAAUCAUAAGUGUUUGGGUUUUGGGGGGAGUAUGGUCGCAAGGCUGAAACUUAAAGGAAUUGACGGAAGGGCACCACCAGGAGUGGAACCUGCGGCUUAAUUUGACUCAACACGGGGAAACUUACGAGGUCAGGACACUGUGAGGAUUGACAGAUUGAAAGCUCUUUCUUGAUUCAGUGGGUGGUGGUGCAUGGCCGUUCUUAGUUGGUGGAGUGAUUUGUCUGGUUAAUUCCGUUAA